GCAGAAAUGGCGGAACUGGCAGACGCGCUUGAUUUAGGAUCAAGAUAUUGAGGGUUCGAAUCCCUUUUUCUGUACAA
Molecule: transfer RNA, 77 nt
Filed under: Chryseobacterium shigense
Lineage: Bacteria; Pseudomonadati; Bacteroidota; Flavobacteriia; Flavobacteriales; Weeksellaceae
Also listed under: 4 other names
Description: tRNA-Leu
Rfam family: tRNA
About the family: Transfer RNA (tRNA) molecules are approximately 80 nucleotides in length.
Source: RNAcentral